GUUGUAGUUAAAAAGCUCAUACUUGGACUUUGGGUUGGGUCGGCCGAUUCGCCUUUAAAUGUGCACUAGUUUACUCGUCCCAUCGGUUAGUGAUGCGCUCCUACCCUAGAUUUGGCAAGUCGUGCCUCCGGCAUUGUUAUCUCGAAGAAAUUAGGUGCUUAAAGCAAGCAUGUCACUCUGUAUACAUAAGUAUGGGAUAACCUCAUAGGAUUUCGGUCCUAUUAUGUUGGCCUUUGGGAUAGGAGUAAUGAUUACCAGGGACAGUCAGGAACCUUUGUAUUCUAUAGUCAGAGGUGGAAUUCUUCAAUUUAUGAAAGACGAACAACUAUGAAAGUAUUUGCCAAGGAUGUUUUCUAUUAACAUAGAAUGAAAGUUGGGGGAUCGAAGAUGAACAAACACCAUCCUUGUCUCAACCAUAAACAAUGACGACUAAGGAUUGGUGGAUGUUACUUUUAGUACUCCAUUGGCACCUUAUGAUAAAUCAAAGUUUAUGACUCCAUUGGCACCUUAUGAGAAAUCAAAGUUUUUGAAAGACUAUGAUGAGCUCUUUCUUGAGUCCAUGGGUGGUGGGGCAUAGUCGUUCUUAGUUGGUAGGGAGAUUUGUUUGGUUAAAUUCGUUAAUGAAUGAGACCUCAGUAUACCUCCAUGGUCGGCUUCUUAUGGGACUAGGGGGGUGUUUUAUACCACAGAGGUUUGAGGCAAUAAUUGGUCUUUGAUGCCUUUAGAU
Molecule: long non-coding RNA, 727 nt
Filed under: Helianthus annuus (common sunflower)
Lineage: Eukaryota; Viridiplantae; Streptophyta; Magnoliopsida; Asterales; Asteraceae
Description: hypothetical non coding rna
Rfam family: Eukaryotic small subunit ribosomal RNA
Source: RNAcentral